GACGUAGGAGGCGAGCGUUGUCCGGAUUCAUUGGGCGUAAAGAGCACGCAGGCGGUUUGGCAAGUCGGACGUGAAAAUCCGGGGCUCAACCCCGGACCUGCAUCCGAAACUGCCCGACUAGAGGUAGGUAGGGGAGAUCGGAAUUCCUGGUGUAGCGGUGAAAUGCGCAGAUAUCAGGAGGAACACCGGUGGCGAAGGCGGAUCUCUGGACCUUACCUGACGCUCAGGUGCGAAAGCUAGGGGAGCGAACAGG
RNAcentral lists this ribosomal RNA (253 nucleotides) under uncultured bacterium. Its description in RNAcentral is "partial 16S ribosomal RNA". It matches the Rfam family "Bacterial small subunit ribosomal RNA", at positions 524 to 776 of the family's 1533-position model. The record is from RNAcentral.